UGUGUAAGAUCUGAGGAACGCUGCAGUGCACCGUCCCUCCUCCCGUCAUCAGCCAUAUAAAUGGCUGCUGUGGACUAAAACACAGGCGUGACGAAGGCAGCCUCCGUGUGUUGGACAUUUAAUGGGAGACGGAGGAAGACUUUAAAGGACAGAAGCUGUGCGAAGUAAGGAACUUUUUUGAUUCGGUGCCAAAACAAGACCAAGAGACGAAGAUUCCUGUGAGGAUUUUUUGAGGCUCUUGACAGAGUGGAUUCAGCAUGGCAGUGAAGCUUCCAUGAGAGAGGACAGCGUACAUGGAAAGAAUGAAGAAGGUCAAUUAUGAAGCCAAACUUUAAAACACAGGACCAGUGUGGACAUUUGUGAUCAGAAGCUUCUUCAGAAAAGAUGAUCAGGCGACUGACAUGUUUCACACACAGGGAAUAUCAUCUGCCAUGGUCUCCAUCCUCUUUGUAAAGCUUCACAUCACAUCGCUGCAUGGAAUCUGUUCAUGUUUUUGCCGGAUUUAGUGCGGCGUUCACACGUUUCCGUAACUCCUAGAGCUGAUCAACGACAGUUUUGUUUCUAAAUGUCUCAGCCACAAAAUCCGACAGACACCCAGGCCUUGGUGCAGUCCAUGCUGCAAAGACUGAAGCUUCAGCCGGGGAGAGAGAGCCAAGCGUACCUGCACACACCUGCACUCAGCACACCUGUUCCCACAUGCAGGCCAGAUGUGGAGACAGAAGCAUCCAGUGACCAGAAAGUGAAAACAAGUCCUGUGAGAGACUCUGGUAAGAAUGGCAUCCCAGAAGAGUUCAGGAUCUCUUCUGUGCACACUGACGACGGCCCCAAAGGCGGUGAAAUCAACGGGGGUCCCAUUUCCUCCGCCGCCCAGAAAGACAACAUCGAUGGUGAGACUGGUGAGAACGCCGGGCUGUCGCAGGACGGGAUGUCUCCAACGGGAACGGGCCAGCUGCUUCCUGCCAAAUCAUUCAAGGAUGCUGAUAUCAGUUCCUUUGAGAAGACUAAUGGAGAGAGGGUGCGUUCUGGCAGCUCUGCUAUGACAAAAGACGCCUCUCAUAAUACAGAUACUGCCUUAAGCAUGGGACAGAAUCCAGAACUGGACCGGGGCUUCACUCCCAGAGUCUACCUGUGGUCCUUGAAGAGCACAGAUACUGGGACUGGUGGACAAGAGGAUAAACCUUUGCAUGUGGGUAAUAGUGGACUGGGAGCUUUGGCAACAACAACAGUAAACAGCAGCUUUAGAAAAAAACAGCGGCCACCAGAGAAAAAAACAAAAAGGUGGACAGCAAAGAUUAAGGAGAGAUGGAGAGACAGACAAGGAAGUUUUGGUAAAAAAGGAAAAGAAGAAGGAGGGAUGGCCAACCACGAGGGUGCAAAAGGAACUGAUGUAUUAACCUCAAACCAGACAUCGACAGGGGAAAAUCCAUUCAACAGCUCAAAAAAUGACCAAGAAGCAAUGCUCUCUUCUCCGGGCAGCAAAGGUCCGAGUGAGACUCCUCCUGCACACACGGAGGACAGCACUGUUGAUGGACAUUUCAGAUCUAUCGGUGACUUUGAGUUUGGUCUUGGGUCGUUCAGCCUGCUGGACGAAAUCACAAAGGGUCAAGAGUGGGCCAAGUUCUUAAACCCCAACGUGUUCGCCGCUCCAGCGAAUCAGACUCCAUCAGAGGAGAUGCAGGUUCAACUCAAAAACCAGCCAGACCCUCACACCCAGUCAGGGGUUUUUAACCAAGCGAAUGUUGGGAACAACCAGUGGAGCUUCAGCGGUGUGGAGCCAUCCAACGUUUUCAGCGGCGCUCAAAUGCCUGUCAGCAUGGACGUUACGGAAGGAAAACAAACAGAUGUGAGGAUGCACGCAGAUGUGGAUCAGUCAGAACCAAUGGAGGACGGUCAGAACCUGUCGGACACGCAGCCCAGUGAACGUGAACGGAUGCAAUCUCAAUCACCAGCCGAGUCGCAGCCUUCAGAGAAUCUGCGCAGCCCAGUGACGAGGAAUCGGAUGCAGCUAACCAGAAAGAGGCAUCAUCAGUCAGCUGAGAGGCUGCAGCCUGAGAAGAUGAGCGAAGGAGAGGAGGCAGAUCAAGACGCAGGCGAAGACAUGGAGCAAAAAGAAGGAGCACGACCUGAGAGCCACAUGCCAAACUCUCAUCCCAUCAAUCCGUCUCCAUCUACUGUCAAUCCCACCUUUCUUCCACCCCGGGGCGUCCUCAAACACUCCAUAUCCCGGGAUUCACAGUCCUCAAUGGAAACUCUCUCAAAAAGGAGGCGAGUUGAGGAGAACCGGCACGUUCAUUUCUCAGAGGAGGUGGUCUUCAUACAGUCUGCGGAGCCGGAUCUGGACGUCACAGUCUCAGAGGAGGACUCAGAAGAAGAGGAGGACACUGUUUCGGAGCAGGAGGUAGAGGUGGAGCGUGUGGCGGUGGAGGAGGUGGCGCCAGCCCGUCGUCCUGCUCUUCCUAACUGGAUAUUGGCUCUGAAGAGGAGGAAUACGGGGAGAAAGCCCAGAUAGUGACUGUGACAAACGUGAGCAGCCAGUCUCACUAAUGUACAACAAAAGAAAAAGACUCUUUUUUUAAGUAAAAUAUAUUUUUUAAUGUUCAUAAUGUUGUAUAUACCAAAAGGACAGCAACUAUUUGGGACUUUAAAGUGAGAUAAAUACAAUUACUAUGGAUUAGGACAGGACAAAAACACCAACAACAACCUUUUCCCUCCUCCUCCCUACUGUCUGUUAUCUCUGUGGCUCUGUGCUGCAGUAAGUACACGCCGAGAAAACCCUUGUUGUCCAUCUUUCACAGUACUUUCAUCAGAGGUAAUGAGUGUCUUCCUCCUCCAGUUUCACACAGGACAGCGGCAGACGACGAUCUGCCCUGCUGUCUGUGCCUCUGACUCCCUCCAUAUCCUGUCUCUUGGUAAUGGCUCCCUGUCCAACCAUAGUGCCGAUUAACCCCAGAAGAGCAGCAGCAUGCGAGCUCGAGCUGAAGGAGCAGCUGAUGACAUUCGGCAUUUUCUUCUUCUGGUGGAGUUCGAUUCAGGCGUUUGCAUGAAGGGGACAAUCACUGUGAGAAUCAUCAUUUAACGCAACUUUUACAGCAAUGCAGCUACAACAAUGUUAACCAGCUCCUGCUUUUUUUUUUUGUUUCUUUGCCAUCACUGCAGUUUCCAGGUGUUGCGGGUGGAGAAACGUGGAAGACUGUACCAUGUUAUCGCACAUAUUAAAGGACUAGUCUUAAUGUUUUUGUAAAUAAGAUCUUUUUUUAAACUUACAUUGGUAACUUUGAAUUGAUUGUGAAUAUAUAAAUAUAUAUAUAUAUUGCAGCACUUCUUGACUCGACUUGAUCUGUUACCAAACGCCACAACAUAAAAGUUGAUUCACACUGAGUGCAGUUGACUUCAGAGUAAACAGAGAAAGAACAUGUAUUUUUCUGUCAUCCUCAUUUUACUUAUUCAACAACACAGAAGCCGUAGCUGUGUUGUUAUCCUGGUCAUAGUAAUAAAGGAAGAUUUUAUCACAACGUAUCGGUUUUGCACAGACCGUGCAUGAACACACACACACACCUAUCGGUUACAUUGAUCAAAGUACUUCCUUCUCAUGGCGAGAUGAGUUGCGGCUUCAUUUCAAAGAGUGACAAAAGUCCGAUUUUGAGACUGACAGAGUGCUCUGUAACUCUGUAUUAUAUUUCUGUCAUUCCCAUUAUGUGCAUUACUGUAUUGAUUUGGGUUAUUAAAUUAGUACGUUGAAACUUUGUGGCACUCUGCUGUCAGCUCCUCUGCACCCACUUUUCA
Salarias fasciatus (jewelled blenny) is the source of this 3783-nucleotide long non-coding RNA. NCBI's taxonomy places the organism in Eukaryota, Metazoa, Chordata, Actinopteri, Blenniiformes, Blenniidae. The record is from Ensembl.